This 405-nucleotide ribosomal RNA is filed under the name uncultured bacterium. Its description in RNAcentral is "bacterial SSU rRNA". It matches the Rfam family "Bacterial small subunit ribosomal RNA", at positions 355 to 776 of the family's 1533-position model. The record is from RNAcentral.
UGAGGAAUAUUGCACAAUGGACGCAAGUCUGAUGCAGCAACGCCGCGUGGAGGAUGAAGGUUCUUGGAUCGUAAACUCCUUUUUUCAGGGAAGACUAAAGACGGUACCUGAAGAAUAAGUCACGGCUAACUACGUGCCAGCAGCCGCGGUAAUACGUAGGUGGCAAGCGUUAUCCGGAAUUACUGGGCGUAAAGCGCACGCAGGCGGCUUUUCAAGUUCGACGUGAAAGCUCCCGGCUUAACUGGGAGAGGUCGUUGAAGACUGAGAGGCUUGAGGCAAUGAGGGGGGUGUAGAAUUCCCGGUGUAGUGGUGGAAUGCGUAGAUAUCGGGAGGAAUACCAGUGGCGAAAGCGGCACCCUAGCAUUAGCCUGACGCUCAUGUGCGAAAGCGUGGGGAGCAAACGGG